Molecule: ribosomal RNA, 297 nt
Filed under: Escherichia coli
Lineage: Bacteria; Pseudomonadati; Pseudomonadota; Gammaproteobacteria; Enterobacterales; Enterobacteriaceae
Description: partial 16S ribosomal RNA
Rfam family: Bacterial small subunit ribosomal RNA
Source: RNAcentral
UGUCGUCAGCUCGUGUUGUGAAAUGUUGGGUUAAGUCCCGCAACGAGCGCAACCCUUAUCCUUUGUUGCCAGCGGUCCGGCCGGGAACUCAAAGGAGACUGCCAGUGAUAAACUGGAGGAAGGUGGGGAUGACGUCAAGUCAUCAUGGCCCUUACGACCAGGGCUACACACGUGCUACAAUGGCGCAUACAAAGAGAAGCGACCUCGCGAGAGCAAGCGGACCUCAUAAAGUGCGUCGUAGUCCGGAUUGGAGUCUGCAACUCGACUCCAUGAAGUCGGAAUCGCUAGUAAUCGUGG